UUAAUCCGCUGAAAGAUAAAUCUGUUUAAGAUUAGGUUGUUGGUAAUUUAAAAGCUUACCAAGCCGAUGAUCUUUAGUUGGUCUGAGAGGAUGAUCAANCACACUGGAACUGAAAUAAGGUCCACGCUAAUACGUUGUGCAGCAGUGGGGGAUAUUGGACAAUGAACGAAAGUUUGGAUCAGCAAUACUAACUGGGUGAUGACGGCUUAUUGAAGUUGUAAGAUCCUUUAAUUAAAGAAGAUAAUGACAUUAUUUAAUUGAAUUGGUUCCGGCUAAUACUCGUGCCAGCAGCCGCGGUAAUACGGGAAGGGCGAGCGUUAUCCGGCAUGACUGGGCGUAAAGAGUCCGUAGACUGUAAAAUAAGUUUUUUGUUAAAUUUUAAGACCUAAUCUUAACAUAGCAACUAAUACUAUUUUACUAUGAGUCUAAUACAGAAAAGUAGAAUUUUGUACGAUAGAGGUGAAAUUUGCAGAUAUAUAAAGGAAUGCCAAAAGCGAAGGCAACUUUUUGGUAUAGACUGACGUUGAGGGACGAAAGCGUGGGUAGCAAACGGGAUUAGAGACCCCGGUAGUCCACGCCGUAAAUUCUGAGUGCU
RNAcentral lists this ribosomal RNA (595 nucleotides) under uncultured organism. Its description in RNAcentral is "bacterial SSU rRNA". It matches the Rfam family "Bacterial small subunit ribosomal RNA", at positions 210 to 817 of the family's 1533-position model. The record is from RNAcentral.